UUCUUCAUGUUUAAAAAAAAUCUUUAGCUAACUUUCUAUCUUACUUGACGUUGUAAAUAUGAUGUCUGCUGAAAAUGCAAUAGUAAUUCUGCCUGCCAAACCGUACAAGUGAAUUCACCAAAGUUUCGGGGCUUGAUUCAAAUUUAGUUGGACUCCAAGAAUUAUAUGAACCUACUCACUAGGAUCCUAACAAUUUGCAGGCACCACAUUUCAGGAUUGAUGUCAAACCAAUCCACUGAGUGUGUUGUAAGAACAUCACGACCUUCGGGCUUCCCUCUGAGUCAAAAGGCAAAAAGGAAUAUCUGAGAGGUAUGUACAAAUCUAUGUUGGUGCUGAAGCCUUAAGUGAAGGUGAUGACAGUGUUCAAGAACUUUACUGGUUCAUGUAUUGUCAGAGUGGCUCUUGGUCCAAAGUAAGGAUAUAGAUUUCAGCAGAAAUGGUAAAUGUAAAUACUCAAGUGGACAGACAAGCUCUGCAACAAGAAGCAGGGAAACAACAUUUCAGUUUGAUGGUCAAUGACUGACCUGCAAGAUUAACUCUGCUCUUGUAUCCAGAGGACAUUUGAGUAUCCAGCAGCCUCUGCUUUUAUUUCAGAUGUCAGCUAUCCAGACUGCUUUGCUUUUGUUUCAGUGUAACCCAAAAAAAUGCAUUUUGCAGAUUAAAUAAGUGCUUCAUUCCUUUCAUUUUAAACCUUAAUUCAAAUUAAGAUUUUAAAUUGUUGCCAACAGAAAAGGCAAACUUUCUUCUUCUUCAGCUUUGUUUCAUUGGAUUAUUUUUUUGAAAUUCAUAAUAAUCUUAUAAAGAAAGUUAUUAUAAAUUUAUAUGAACUGUUGGAAUGCAUUUUAAAAUUAAUAACUUUAUUUUAUUAACUUGAGCUGCAAGAGCUUUAAGAACAGUAAGAUACAGAGAUCAGGAACUCUCAUCUCAUGCCAAAAGAACCAACCUACAACUAUUGCUCAAAGACUGAUGAUGAAGACAACUUGUCAUGUAUUUCUCCUUUAUUUUCUAGCCAAUGUUGGAGAAAUAUGACACUUACAUACAAACAUACAUAAAAAUAUCUGCCUUUAGCCAGCUACAAGAUAACAUUGUGGCUCAAGCCCAUUACUAGUUCAUGUCCUGGUAGAGUUGAAUGAACUACUCUAACCAAAUUCUGUACAGAUAUUUCAUGCAAAUGCACAAAGCCACAGCUUUGUUAAGUAUUACUCUUAACGUAAAAAAUUAAGUUUCGCAAAAAGUGAUGCUACCAACCACAAUGAGCUUGAACAGGGUAAAGCAUAAACAAUUUGCAUAAAAGAAAUAAAUAGUGAAAGCUUACAUUUCCAAAUGUCUAAGAGGCUGUAUAGCCAAUGAAUUACUUCUGAAGUGUAGUCACUGUUGUCUAGCUGCCAAUUUAUGUAUAGGAAGCUCCCAGAAGCAGCAAUGCGAUUAUGACCAGAUAACAGAUUUUCUUAGAUACAGUGGAUUCUGGUUAAUUGGUUCAUCAAUUUGCUGGAACAGCUACUUAUUUGGGACAAUGCUUAAAGAAGAAAAACUAAUUGAGAAAAUAGUCAGGAUACCCUUCAAUUAUUUGAGACACGCUGUUGCUUAUUUGUGACAGGAGACUGAUGCCCAACAGUUUCUAACUAGCAUCAAUAGCUUGAACUCAUGUGGCCAUUAGACAAUACACGUGCUCAGUGCAAACAGUUUUUAAAUAGUGUCAAUUGUGUGUGUUUGUGCUCAAAAAGCCGGGGUUUUUGUCACAGAUGGUUGGCAAUAGUAAGCAGUAAGACAAUGUAGAACUGUUUUGCUCUCUGCACUUUCAAGCAUUCAGGCUUGAAGAUGCCAGAAAUGGCUGACAAUGAAAAUGAAACUGGAAGGUGUUGUAACUCCAAAACAUAAAACAAAUCAAAGCAAAAUCACAGAGCCAGGAAUAACAUGUCCUUAGUUGGUUUUUAUUUUAGUAAAGCAUGCACAUACGACGCAGUGGCGUAAUGAUGCAUACCAUUCACAUACUUUUACAUAUAAACCAUAAUGAAUUAUGUAAUGACAAAGAAUGUUAAAUCAAACAAUAUAUUUAUGUUACUCAAGUAUUACUGAAUAUUAAGUACUCACACGUGUUACUAAUUAGCUCAAUAUCAAAUGCAUCUCAAUUUAUAUACACACACAUUUCAUAUAUAUAAAAAUAAAAGUAUGUAUCGCUGUGGAGGAUUUCUUACUCUUGUGGGAUAUUGUCUUUCCUGACAAGCAGGGGCGUCACUGCUUGGCGAGUGAGACUUGUGGCUGUGAAACAAUCUCAGAUUCUGGAGCCUCCUCAAGAAUGGUUACAGCAGUUGACUCUGGGACUGCAGGAAGAGGUUCUGACAGAUCUGGACAUCUUUCUUCUGUAACAAAUUACUCGGCCAGGGCAAUGCAGGCCAUUCCCCAUGGAUGGAGAGGCACUGUUAUUGGCAUCUUCUGGAUGAACUGGCAUCCUAAACAGUGCGUGGGAAGCCGCUCGAUCUGCUGAUCUAUCCCAGGCCAACAGUCAAAGUUUCAAACUUUAAUUUUGACCACACCUAGCUGACGGGCAUGUGGCUCCUCCAAUACUUUAGCUCUCAGCUUAGAUAGUAAAACAAUCCUCAAGUGCCCACAUCAGGCAACCCCCAUCAAGGGCUAGUUCAUCUCUGCAGUGGUAAAAAUGGGGAAACGGGAUUUUCUCCAGCACAUUUCAGCCAUCUGAGUUGCCAUGUAGUCUGGGGUCUUUUCUGGUUUCCCUGUGUAUCAUCUCUACCAUAUUGGGAGACUUUCAAUAUUCAUCCUUCAGCAUCUCCAUGAUUAGCUGUCCUAUUGG
This is a long non-coding RNA of Mobula hypostoma (lesser devil ray), 2809 nucleotides long. RefSeq lists it as uncharacterized. The transcript is spliced from 4 exons. The record is from RefSeq and is a predicted model, not a curated record. NCBI's taxonomy places the organism in Eukaryota, Metazoa, Chordata, Chondrichthyes, Myliobatiformes, Myliobatidae.